RNAcentral lists this unclassified non-coding RNA (305 nucleotides) under uncultured fungus. RNAcentral describes it as "partial contains small subunit ribosomal RNA, internal transcribed spacer 1, and 5.8S ribosomal RNA". The stretch from base 1 to 73 matches the Rfam family "Eukaryotic small subunit ribosomal RNA", at positions 1759 to 1831 of the family's 1831-position model. The record is from RNAcentral. Lineage: Eukaryota; Fungi.
GCAAACUUGGUCAUUUAGAGGAAGUAAAAGUCGUAACAAGGUUUCCGUAGGUGAACCUGCGGAAGGAUCAUUACAUGACUGAUUGAUGAGAGUAUGGUCUUUUGGCCAUGCUCUCUCAUCUUUCUCCUCUCUCUUGUUGUUUUCUUCUUGGUUGCUUUGGUGGGUUUUAGGACCCACCAAGGGAAAUCCUUAAACCAUUCUUUGUGACUGAAUUGGUCUGACUCUUGUCUGUCAAAAUCUAAAUAUUGAAAAACACACCUUUCAACAAUGGAUCUCUUGACUCUGGCAUCGAUGAAGAACGCAGC